This is a non-coding RNA of Paramuricea clavata, 480 nucleotides long. Lineage: Eukaryota; Metazoa; Cnidaria; Anthozoa; Malacalcyonacea; Plexauridae. The record is from the annotation of a GenBank genome assembly.
UUAUCCAGAGCCUGGGUAUGAGACUGCUGAUGUCAAAAACAAAGAAAUGAAUGCAGCUACUGAAAAUUAAUGCAAGUAUAAGGACAUUUUUAAUAUCAGUAUUUUUACUAGAACAGUAAAAGAUUAAAUUUCACAUCGUGCAUCAAGGACGCAAGGAGAUUUCGUCCCACAAAUUAUAUUAAUGUUUUAUGCUUUAAUGCAUAACACUGAAAAUAGUGAAACAACCGCAACAGCUAGUAACAGCAAAAAAAAAAACAAUAACAAGAAACGCUAGCUUGUCUGGAUACUUCAUUAUUAAUAUUAAUAAUAAUUAAUGAAAAUAAACUGGUGAAAUAAAUAUAUAUCUUAACGCAAAGAGCAUCUAAAAAAACUCAGUAUGAAUAAUACUGGUUUUACCUCAAACAUCUUUAAUUAAAUAUAAUAUUAUGCCUCUUGUCGCAACCCCAUUUGACCAUAAUGCAUCGCGGUACAUAAAAUGGC